AUCCUCCAAGCCACCACGUAUCUUCCAAGCUUUCUUACUCGAUCGAAGGAGAGUUUCUCUUCCCUUUUUCCUCUUUCCAAACAGUAAUCGAGAAAGAGUCCCUCCGAAACAAAAAUGGUGAGCGAUGAACCGAAACAGAGUCCACCGGAACAAAGGCACCCAGACCCUGUUGAAAGUGCCCAAAACGUUGAGGGUUUGUUCAGUCCUAGAUUUAAAUCUUUGGCUGCCAUGGCUGGUUGGGACGAAGAGUCCAUCCUUCUUGCCAGCCUUAUUGUGGAAGACACUCCUGAUCGACAGUUUAAGUACAAGAAACGCUCUGAUUUGCAGUUCAAGACUCCACCUUCCGCCAGUUCAAGAAGAAAACGCAGGGCUCAGAGAAAGAGUCCCGUUUCGGUUUCUGUCCCCGUUAUUGGCCUUGAGGAAGAAGAAAAACCUGAAAAACAAGAGAAUCAGAAAGAGAAGACAGAAGCGGAACCAAAAAUUGAAGCGAAGGAAGAGCGUAAAACAGAAGGAGAUGAAUUGAAGAAAGAGAAUUCUGGUGUUUCUUGCUCGAAUUCUGUCGUUCCCUGCAUGGAUAAGCUCAGAGAAGAGCUUUCUUGUGCAAUUUGUUUGGAGAUUUGCUUUGAACCAAGUACCACUUCUUGUGGACACAGUUUCUGUAAGAAAUGCUUACGGUCUGCUGCUGAUAAAUGUGGGAAGAAAUGUCCAAAGUGCAGACAGCUAAUAAGCAAUGGAAGAUCUUGCACUGUGAACACAGUUCUUUGGAACACAAUACAACUUCUUUUUCCACAAGAAAUUGAAGCAAGGAAGGCAGCUGGGGCCUUGAAUAGUAGAGAAGUAGAACGCCAAACCCCGGAAACAAGAAUCAACACUGAUGUAAGGAGCUCAAGCAUUCGGCCUUCCAGGACGUCAGUUUCCAGAAGAGAUGUAACUGCAAGGAGAAGAGACGAACUGAACCAAGAUGAAGAUUCGGCGUUGGCUCAAAGAUUGCAAAGAGAAGAUCUUACACGAUUAUUGAGCAGAGAUACAAGUGGAAGGAACAGAAGAGGGGGGAUACUGAGCCAAGAUGAGGAUGCUGAAUCGGCACAAAGCUUGCCAAGAGAAGAUCUUGCUCGGCUAUUGAGAAGAGAUGCAAGUGGAAGAAGAAGAAGAGGGACACCUAGCCAAGAUGAGGAUGCUGCACUAGCUCUAAGGCUGCAGAGGGAGGAGUUCAUGGAGGCCUUUGGAGGAACCCAUGCGCAAUCAGCAAGCUCUCUUUCCUUGGCUAGAGCAAACUUGAGAGCUAUGGCAUCAAGAGCUAUCAACAUACGUAUGAGAAGCCGGCCUACAUAGUCAGUUAUAUUGUUAGUUAAACCUGGGUGAACUAUCUUUCCCACAAUCCAAAUGUUUGUUUCUACUUUCUACUAGUAGUUUCUAUUUGAUGUAUUCUUGCACCAAUCUUUGGAAUCAGGUUCACCAUUGUCGUAUUCUUGUACCAAUCUUUGGAAUCAGAUUCACCAUUGUCCGUUGAGAGGACACCACCAAGCAGGACUUGAUGAAAUUCACGCUUCAUUAAGUUGGUAACACCCAGCAUGAGUUGUCUACAAGGUGCAACCAAAAGACUGGAGCUGGGAAUAAGUUGUGCAAUUAUGUUACAAAUGUUCCUAGUAUGUGCAAUUAUGUUCAACUUAUCAGAAGAAUCAUCUGUUUUUAAAAGUUAGCAUUUGAUUAGUUUAUGAUUGAGAAAGGUCAAUUCUUAUAUCAGAAAUAUCUAACCAUGUGCAAGCAAUUUUUUUUUUUGAAGGACCGUUUCUCUCUCUAUCAGGGGGCAGUUGUUUUCAUGUUUGGUUUUAUUGCUGCUUCUAUUACUAGAUCUUGGCUCCCCUCAGAGCUUGCCUAACAGCACCUUGGCUCCCCUCAGAGCUUAAUCAAUUAUUGUCCAUCAGACUUAAAAAUUUUAGUCUUUAACUUACCUGAAAAUAGACAACUGGUGAAUCCAACUGCAGAGAGGAUAAUGCAGAGACUCCAUAAAGAAAUUUCACAGUAAAACUACCCUAGAUAUAACCAUUACUACAAUCAUAACAUCUCAGUCUCAUCUGCUACAAAGCUACCUUCAGUUUUUAGGAGGAGCCUUAAUAAAUUUAGUCUGUUAAGUACUCUUACAAGUUACAAGUUAUUAGAUAUGGCAAGCAGAAGACUAUUCAUUCACCUGGCCUCAAUUUUCAUGAUUUAUACAAUGCUAGCACUGCCAGCUAUAUGUGAAGGCGCAGUGCCUGACCCAGCUCCAUCUCCUCACCACGCUCACUCUCUGGCGCCUGCCCCAUCUCAUACCAGAGGUACUAUUGCUGCUGGUGGUGACUGCUCUCCUCAUAUGUUUGCUACAACAUUAUUUGCUUCCUUAUCCUUCUUGUUGCCAUUGUAUCUCUUAAUCUUUUACUAGUCAUGGAGGAAAUAUGAUUACCUGUAUGUUCUGAUGUUUUGUGUAUACGUAAAAUAAAGGAAUGAGAUUUAAUCUAACAGCUCCAUGGGCUGGUGGUUGAGGCUGAAUUCCUCUGUUGGUACGGUGUCGGUUUUUCUCUAUUUUGUGAUUGUAUUAGAAUUAUUGUAAUAUAUGUUAUUUGUUUGCUAGAAAA
This 2612-nucleotide unclassified non-coding RNA is filed under the name Hevea brasiliensis (rubber tree). The record is from RNAcentral. Lineage: Eukaryota; Viridiplantae; Streptophyta; Magnoliopsida; Malpighiales; Euphorbiaceae.